Non-coding RNA from Quaeritorhiza haematococci, 72 nucleotides. The record is from the annotation of a GenBank genome assembly. NCBI's taxonomy places the organism in Eukaryota, Fungi, Chytridiomycota, Chytridiomycetes, Quaeritorhizaceae.
GGAACAAUAGUUUAGAGGUAAAGCAUGCGACUGCAGUUCGAGAGUUCUCCGGCUCAAUCCCGGGUUGCUCCU